This 63-nucleotide transfer RNA is filed under the name Elgaria kingii. Its description in RNAcentral is "tRNA-Cys". Lineage: Eukaryota; Metazoa; Chordata; Lepidosauria; Squamata; Anguidae. The record is from RNAcentral.
AAGCCCCGGAGAUCUUAACGUCUCUUUUCCAGGUUUGCAGCCUGGUGAUUUUACCUCGGGACC